AUCGGGAUGCAAAACGCGUAAAUA
Molecule: non-coding RNA, 24 nt
Filed under: Arabidopsis thaliana (thale cress)
Lineage: Eukaryota; Viridiplantae; Streptophyta; Magnoliopsida; Brassicales; Brassicaceae
Source: RNAcentral